This 466-nucleotide ribosomal RNA is filed under the name uncultured bacterium. RNAcentral describes it as "partial 16S ribosomal RNA". It matches the Rfam family "Bacterial small subunit ribosomal RNA", at positions 339 to 795 of the family's 1533-position model. The record is from RNAcentral.
CUACGGGGCGCACCAGUGGGGAAUAUUGGACAAUGGGGGAAACCCUGAUCCAGCAAUGCCGCGUGUGUGAAGAAGGCCUGCGGGUUGUAAAGCACUUUCGGUUGGGAGGACUGCUUCUAGCACUAAUAUUGUUGGAAGUUGACGUUACCUUCAGGAGAAGCACCGGCUAACUCCGUGCCAGCAGCCGCGGGUAAUACGGAGGGUGCAAGCGUUAAUCGGAAUUACUGGGCGUAAAGCGCGCGUAGGCGGCUAGAUCAGUCGGGUGUGAAAGCCCCGGGCUUAACCUGGGAACUGCAUCCGAUACUGUCUAGCUUGAGUACAGGAGAGGAGAGUGGAAUCCCACAUGUAGCGGUGAAAUGCGUAGAUAUGUGGAGGAACACCAAUGGCGAAGGCAGCUCUCUGGCCUGAUACUGACGCUGAGGUGCGAAAGCGUGGGGAGCAAACAGGAUUAGAUACCCUCGUAGUC